GCAGGGGGGCUUAGCUGAGCCGGCUCUGACCUCCCCACCUGGCCCAGGCAGUGGGCUGAGGGCCACCUCUUCCCCUGCGAUCCCCGUUGGGCCGUACCUCAUGAGGCAGAGGCGGCAGAGCCCGAGGAGAGUCGGGGACUUCCCUUGUUGGCAGGCAGCACGGUGGCCUCUGCCGGGCAGGGCCGCAGCUGCCCCCGAGGACAGAAAGCAGUGCCAGGGUAGCGGGAGCUCCCGCCUGACUCCGGCUCUUCUGCCCGGCCGCUCCGGUCCAGCAGUGCCCGCGGGUUUGGGGAAGAUGGAGGAGACAGGUUGUACCCACCUUUUCUCUAACCCAGCUUCCAGUUUCAGGUACAGUCUGUGUUAAGGAGGAACUCCCUGCCACCCAAAACCAGGAUGAGUUACUCUUCCCAGCUCUUGGAUCGGUGCAAGCCCCACCCGUUUGCACAAGCAGCAUUCACAAGCAGCAGAUGCUGAAAUGGUGUUUAAAGUGGACUGCAUGCUCCUGUAAUUUCUCUCCUGAAACAAAAAAAAAAAAAAAAAAUUGGAAACUAAUUAACCAAGGGAAAGAGAGAAAAACUGACUGCUAAAUACAAUGGAAUGAAAUUUGGGAAGAAAUGUGUAGACUGUGAUGGAAAGGAAAAAGAUACUAGGGUUGGAAAUGCAAAUGUCACUGAAUCUGGGAUUGGUAUUGUGUUAGGGCUGAACUGGUAAGUAAAAUGGAGCUGAUAUCUGAAAUAGUGACAGCAUAGUUUCACAGAUAAGCUCCUGGGUAUUUAGUUGGAGAGAAGCAGCAGAUGUUAGCUGUACAACUGGUUAGGGAUUUCCCGAUAAGCUACUUAUGUCCAUGAGAAAAUGAUAGCAAUUCAAGAUCUAAACGGUUGUUGUGAAUACAGUAAAUCUCCCAUAUUUUUUGUCUGUUGUUUUGGUUCUGUUGUUUUUCUAAAAAAGAAUGUUUCCAAUUGUUGAAAAUGCUUCAUCAUUUCUAAGUGGAAAGGAGUCUUCUCUUCCAUGACUUUCUACUAAAUGUUGUAGAUAAUGGAAACACAUUUGAAAACAGUGGGGAACAUUUAAAAACGCUUGGAAAUGGAAGUUAAACUCUGCCCAGUGAUAGACUUCCAUAGUCAGCAGUUUUGUCAGCCUGAACCAAACUGAUCAUGGACAUAAAAGGGACAGAUUAUUUUUCCCAAGUGAAGUCAAAUGAUGAAAGAUAUGGAAGAUGGCUGAGGUUAAUACUGCUACUUAGUUCUAAUGAAAAAUCAUAUCCUUUCAUCAUCAUUGAACAUCUUUAUUAUCCAAAAAUAAAACAGUGCUUUUCA
Long non-coding RNA from Pseudopodoces humilis (Tibetan ground-tit), 1316 nucleotides. RefSeq lists it as uncharacterized. The record is from RefSeq and is a predicted model, not a curated record. NCBI's taxonomy places the organism in Eukaryota, Metazoa, Chordata, Aves, Passeriformes, Paridae.